RNAcentral lists this long non-coding RNA (340 nucleotides) under Parus major (Great Tit). RNAcentral describes it as "lncRNA (ENSPMJG00000006265.1)". Lineage: Eukaryota; Metazoa; Chordata; Aves; Passeriformes; Paridae. The record is from RNAcentral.
CAAAGGAUGGCCCUGUACUAGCCAGGUCAGCUCAACCCAGACAAAAUGAAGUUACUUAUCAUUUGAAAUCUCACAGGGAAAACAGCACUGUGUAGAAAGAACAACCAAUUAAAGUUCAGGGUUGGACUGGCACAACAAAGAUAUCUCUGAUAUCCCCCACUGGGUUUGGAAUCUGGAUGAUUUUUAGAGAGAAUACCAAGAAGGUGAAAGAGAACAAACAGGAAUGAAGCACUGGGAAAUACUGGAUCAGACGUAGAACUAAGGGAGGAGCUGGGGAAAAGAGCAUCACAGAAAUGACUGUGUGGAGCCCAUAAAGGUGCAGCUGAGUGCCAGGUGAGGU